Passer domesticus (house sparrow) is the source of this 356-nucleotide long non-coding RNA. RefSeq lists it as uncharacterized. The transcript is spliced from 3 exons. Lineage: Eukaryota; Metazoa; Chordata; Aves; Passeriformes; Passeridae. The record is from RefSeq and is a predicted model, not a curated record.
UGCAGAGCUUUGCUUGGAGUUAGAUGGUCACAAGUGGAGAAAAAUUAACACCAGGGGACAGGGAUAUAAUCUGUGAAAAGAAGAAACUUGAAGCCUCAUCUCCCAAAGCAGGAGCUGCAUUCCUAAAGAACCAAUUUGUGCUAAUUCUCCCUCACCCACAGCACUGAGGAGCACCUAAAUGUGGAGAGAACAGCACUUUUCUCUCAGGAGCAGUGUGACUUUGGGGCCAAGUGAGCACUGCCUGUGUUUGUCAAGGACCACGAGGAAUGUUUGGAGGAGAAUUUUGGAAACCGGCUCAGCGUGAUGUGGAUUAGUAUCAUUUCAGCCUUGCCAUAAUUAAAUACCAGCAGCAAUUA